CAUGCAAGUCGAGCGAACAGAUAAGGAGCUUGCUCCUUUGACGUUAGCGGCGGACGGGUGAGUAACACGUGGGUAACCUACCUAUAAGACUGGGACAACUUCGGGAAACCGGAGCUAAUACCGGAUAAUAUGUUGAACCGCAUGGUUCAAUAGUGAAAGAUGGUUUUGCUAUCACUUAUAGAUGGACCCGCGCCGUAUUAGCUAGUUGGUGAGGUAAYGGCUCACCAAGGCAACGAUACGUAGCCGACCUGAGAGGGUGAUCGGCCACACUGGAACUGAGACACGGUCCAGACUCCUACGGGAGGCAGCAGUAGGGAAUCUUCCGCAAUGGGCGAAAGCCUGACGGAGCAACGCCGCGUGAGUGAUGAAGGUCUUAGGAUCGUAAAACUCUGUUAUUAGGGAAGAACAAACGUGUAAGUAACUGUGCACGUCUUGACGGUACCUAAUCAGAAAGCCACGGCUAA
This 464-nucleotide ribosomal RNA is filed under the name Staphylococcus lugdunensis. RNAcentral's name for it is "bacterial SSU rRNA". It matches the Rfam family "Bacterial small subunit ribosomal RNA", at positions 54 to 500 of the family's 1533-position model. Lineage: Bacteria; Bacillati; Bacillota; Bacilli; Caryophanales; Staphylococcaceae. The record is from RNAcentral.